Molecule: transfer RNA, 67 nt
Filed under: Marmota monax (woodchuck)
Lineage: Eukaryota; Metazoa; Chordata; Mammalia; Rodentia; Sciuridae
Description: tRNA.Ser
Source: RNAcentral
GGUUGUUGCUCAGUGGUAGAGGGCUUGCCUAGAAUGUGUGAGGCACUGGGUUCGAUUCUCAGGACUG